GGGAAUAUUGCACAAUGGGCGCAAGCCUGAUGCAGCCAUGCCGCGUGUGUGAAGAAGGCCUUCGGGUUGUAAAGCACUUUCAGCGAGGAGGAAGGGCGAUGUCUUAAUAUGGCAUCGCAUUGACGUUACUCGCAGAAGAAGCACCGGCUAACUCCGUGCCAGCAGCCGCGGUAAUACGGAGGGUGCAAGCGUUAAUCGGAAUUACUGGGCGUAAAGCGCACGCAGGCGGUUUGUUAAGUCAGAUGUGAAAUCCCCGCGCUUAACGUGGGAACUGCAUUUGAAACUGGCAAGCUAGAGUCUCGUAGAGGGGGGUAGAAUCCCAGGUGUAGCGGUGAAAUGCGUAGAGAUCUGGAGGAAUACCGGUGGCGAAGGCGGCCCCCUGGACGAAGACUGACGCUCAGGUGCGAAAGCGUGGGGAGCAAACAGGAUUAGGUACCCUGGUAGUCCACGCUGUAAACGAUGUCGAUUUGGAGGUUGUGCCCUUGAGGCGUGGCUUCCGGAGCUAACGCGUUAAAUCGACCGCCUGGGGAGUACGGCCGCAAGGUUAAAACUCAAAUGAAUUGACGGAA
Molecule: ribosomal RNA, 569 nt
Filed under: uncultured Gammaproteobacteria bacterium
Lineage: Bacteria; Pseudomonadati; Pseudomonadota; Gammaproteobacteria
Description: bacterial SSU rRNA
Rfam family: Bacterial small subunit ribosomal RNA
Source: RNAcentral